GCCCCCGUAGCUCAGUGGAUAGAGCAUAGGAUUCCUAAUCCUUGAGCGCAAGUUCGAUUCUUGCCGGGGGUACCA
Molecule: transfer RNA, 75 nt
Filed under: Desulfobacter postgatei
Lineage: Bacteria; Pseudomonadati; Thermodesulfobacteriota; Desulfobacteria; Desulfobacterales; Desulfobacteraceae
Also listed under: 5 other names
Description: tRNA-Arg
Rfam family: tRNA
About the family: Transfer RNA (tRNA) molecules are approximately 80 nucleotides in length.
Source: RNAcentral